UACUAAUUUUGUUCCGUAGCAUUUACCUUUCGCGAUACUUGGCUUACUCGCACCUCUGUCGCCACGCUUGCUUCGUCACCGUUUUCCCGACCUUCUCUUCCUCCCGCGCCUUUUCUUCUCAGUCACAGCGGCCAAGUAAUCAAGUUCGCGUCGAGCUCCCCCAAAAUAUCGUAUAGUCGUGUAUGUGUGCUCGAUGAGCUACUAUGAGCAGUGGCGUGAUCCAAGAAGCCGCUAACCAGUGCCCAACUUUUUGUUAUUGAAAUAUACAAAUGAUCUGCUAUGAGGUGCUCCCCUCAGCUAUUUCUAUGUCUCCAUUAAAUAUGAUUUGCUAAGUUAAAUUUCAGUAACCUCUGAGUCUCUUAACUCAAUUCUACUACCAUUAUGCCCCAAUUGCACAUAGAGGGUCAUUACAGCUGUUCUAUAUAAACCAGACGAGGAAAUGAAACUAAUUCAAACCUCUUCCCAUGAAGCCGAAAACCCAAUAGAGCUCUCUCUGAGACAAGCCUUUGAACUUCUUGAACCAAAACUGAGGCCCCCUUUUGCAUUAACAAUUCCAAACCCACAAGAAUACUUGUUGCUCAACAAAGCGAUCCUUUAUGGUGUGUUAUGUGAAAGCCAUGUUGGAAAAACACAUAUGAAGCACUUACAUGCUAUUGUCACUGAUGGGUAUUUCUGGUUUGUUAGCUUGCUAGUCAAGGUCGUGAAUGAACUGUAUGUGAAACUUCUUGAACCGGUGAAGUCUCAAUUAAUUUGGGUUACCAAGGAGUUGAUCAAUGUUCUAGCGGUAGGUGUUGAUGGUUUGUUGGUUUGCUUGUUGAGGCAAAUUAUUGGAGGGGAUUAUAGUGAUGGAAAUCUGUGGCUUUGCUUUGAGAUGGUGAGCAUUUUUAUGACCAAAUGGGAUUGUUUGUUAGAAGUAGAACCGAUGAUUUUGACUAGUGGAUUGUAUACAUAUCUUCGGUUAUUAGCUGAUCACUGUAGGUUGUUAAGCAAUCCAAAAUUAGAGGCAUUAAAGCAAUUGGAGGUCGAUUUUUGCAUUAAAGUUUUUAAGGAGAAGUUUCCUUUGUGUUUGAAGAUUGGCAGGGAUCUUGUUCGACUUCUACAAGAUUUGGUUCAUUUACCCAAGUUUAGAACAAUAUGGAAGGAUUUGGUAUUGAAUCGCGGCGAAUUUAAAGCUCAGGGAUUUUCAGGUAUUCCACAACUCUAUAACACAAGGACUCCAAGCGAGUAUAUGUUACUUCGGAUUACUCCAGAAAUGGAGGCCCAUUUACGAUUUUUGUUCACUCAUGUGAAGUUGGGAAACCAGAAGCGUCAUCAGGCAUGGUUUUCCAAGAAGUUUCUAUUUGAACCAAACAGAGAGACUCUCAUAAUUGACAUUGUUCGCUUUAUAUGUUGUGCUUACCACCCAACCAAUGAAAUCAUUCAGUCAGAUGUCAUUCCAAGAUGGGCUAUUAUGGGUUGGCUUUUCAAAUCUUGCACAAAGAAUUAUGUUGAAGCGAAUGUGAAACUAGCUCUACUUUAUGAUUGGCUCUUUUUCAAGGAAAGAGCAGACAAUAUUAUGGAUAUUGAACCAGCAAUGUUAUUAAUGGUCUAUUCUAUACCCAGAUACAUUGAUGUAACUCACACUAUUCUUGAAUUUUUGUUCCUUCUUAUGGACAACUAUGAUGUGGAACAUUACGAUAUCUUAGCUAAAGGUGUGUCAUCUUCUUUUAGUGUACUUGUUAAGAGAGGAGUGAUUCGUUCACUUGAUGUCUUGACCUCUUGUGAUGCAUUGUCUCCUAUAUUGAAAGAAAGGCUUGGUAGGUUUUUGUCAGGUAGGAAAUUUGAAAUCUCUAAAGAGUUGCAACAAGCUUGCCGUCCUGCUGAUUUUGUGAGUUUGAACUCUUCAUGUAUGGAAACUCCAUUACCAUUAACAGAAUGGCAACCAAAAUGUAGCCAAGGAGACAAAUUUGGUACCAAAUCAGCUGAAACUAAAGUUAUGAUAUCAGAUGAUGCAGCUUCUUCCCAUAGUCCAUUAGUAGUGGCCAGGGAAGGCCAAGUUCAUGAUAUAGACAAUAUGAUUCAUAAUCUUGGAGAAGCAAUUAAAAAUUCAAAUCCAAUGGCUCUUCGUACUUUGGAAGAACUGUUACUUUUAUUUGUGAGUUUUGAUGGCCAAGGACCAGAGAGUGGCUUCAUUCUGCCUGAUGUUUUAUCUUCUAAAAUAAAAAAGUUGUAUGAAUUGAGUGGGUCCAAAUUAUUUUCUCCUCUCAAAUUUCAUCCAGAUAGUCCUGAAAACAGUGAUGAAGUUGGGUCUGCCACAUCCUUAAUUAUCCGUAUGUUUGUUCUUUCUCAACAUCAAAAUAUGCAAGCUAUGCUUCUAUUUUGGUUAAAGAAUGGUUUUCCAGUUGGAGCAAGGUUAUUAUUGUAUGCAUCAAGACUAGCUUAUGAGGCACGCAUGGUGGGUUUUUUUGGAGAUGCCAUGGUUGACGUUAAUUCUAUUACUCCAAGUGAUUCAGGCAUCCGUCUGCUGCUAUAUCAUGUCAAUGGGUACUUUUCUUUUUUGCAUGGUAGAACUGAAAACUCAUAUGAAACCAUUGAGUCUAUUUCUAAAGCGGAAAAGAAGUUAGUUGCAAUGUUAGUCGAUGGUGCCUUUGCUGCCUACAAAUGCUUCCUUGUGUAUUCAAGAACUGCCUUAUUCAAGGAUGCUGAAAAUUCUUUGCCGCAGCUCCUUUUUUCUGACAUAAUGACUUGUUCUGUGUGGGAGAGGAAGCGAUUAAAAUUCUUGUUUUCCAGUGUCUAUUGUCAUCUUUCUGAUAUGUCCAUUGGUGAGGAAGGCAUCAUCAAGCUACUUGUUGGUCAAUUAGAUCAUGCUGAUCUUGUUAAUAUACAGAUUGAGAUUGGCUUGAAAAGAUUUUCCAUUUUUGGUGAGAAUACUGAAACAGUUUUCUGCUUAAUGAAGAAUUCCCUUAAUUGGGGUUGUAUGGAACAACAUAAAUUCUGGGGCUUGAUUAGAUCAGAGCUAGCGGUUUCCACGGUGGAAGUGCAGGGACUACUUUCAAAGUUUUUGGUUGGAGAAAUUAGAUGCAAAUGCGAGUGCCAUUGCGGUUGAAGGUCUUCUUACACUCUGUAGUUGCUGCCCACCCACGCCUGAGCUUGUUGGGGCUCUCAUGUUAUUACCUAACAGUGUCUUUCAGGAUUUUGCUUCUGCUGUUAUGGCUAAAUGGGCUGUAUCUAAUGGCGCCAUGCUAUUUGAAAGCUUGGCUGAGUUUUCAGAAAAAGUUGAGAGCAAAAAUGGGGAUCUCGUCAUUCAUGAUUCAGCAGGAAUGUUAAACCGUUCUGCCAUUUUGUGGUUAUUGAAGUAUUUUAAUGGGAGUGACACUGAUAUUUCUGGCAACUUAUCCUUAAAAACUAUGUGCAAAAAUGCAAUGCGACAAGUAUGAUGGGUUAUGUAAUGCGUUUCAUUGGAAGAUUGAGAAAUACACAGACACACCGGCACCGGCAUAUAUAUUAAGCUUUCUGCAUGAGAGUCAUAUUGUAUUAUCAAAGGAAUUAGUACAUGACUACAUGAGUAUUCGACAUUCAGUGUUAUAUUUUUGUUAUAUUUUAUUGGGUUAGAAUGAAGGCAUGUUUGCUUGACUACAAUAUGCUUUGUAAAUGCUUGUGAAAAGUUGUAGGACGUGAACCUGUAUAUAUUUUUUAUUAGUUUUCUGUUUUCACCUUUGAUUUAUAUAUCUUGUUACUCUUUAAGUCAAU
Malus domestica (apple) is the source of this 3729-nucleotide non-coding RNA. The record is from RefSeq and is a predicted model, not a curated record. NCBI's taxonomy places the organism in Eukaryota, Viridiplantae, Streptophyta, Magnoliopsida, Rosales, Rosaceae.